This 303-nucleotide ribosomal RNA is filed under the name uncultured bacterium. RNAcentral describes it as "partial 16S ribosomal RNA". It matches the Rfam family "Bacterial small subunit ribosomal RNA", at positions 507 to 809 of the family's 1533-position model. The record is from RNAcentral.
AGCAGCCGCCGCGGGAAUACGUAGGUGGCAAGCAUUGUCCGGAAUUAUUGGGCGUAAAGCGUGCGCAGGCGGAUAGGUCAGUCUGUCUUAGAAGUUCGGGGCUUAACCCCGUGAUGGGAUGGAAACUGCCAAUCUAGAGUAUCGGAGAGGAAAGUGGAAUUCCUAGUGUAGCGGUGAAAUGCGUAGAUAUUAGGAAGAACACCAGUGGCGAAGGCGACUUUCUGGACGAAAACUGACGCUGAAGCGCGAAAGCCAGGGGAGCGAACGGGAUUAGAUACCCCGGUAGUCCCUGUCUCUUAUACA